Molecule: transfer RNA, 72 nt
Filed under: Cyanidium caldarium
Lineage: Eukaryota; Rhodophyta; Bangiophyceae; Cyanidiales; Cyanidiaceae
Description: tRNA-Thr
Rfam family: tRNA
About the family: Transfer RNA (tRNA) molecules are approximately 80 nucleotides in length. Their secondary structure includes four short double-helical elements and three loops (D, anti-codon, and T loops).
Source: RNAcentral
GCCUUUGUAGCUCAGUGGUAGAGUGUUUCCUUGGUAAGGAAAAGGCCAUGAGUUCAAUUCUCUUCAAAGGCU